Molecule: non-coding RNA, 73 nt
Organism: Eurypyga helias (sunbittern)
Lineage: Eukaryota; Metazoa; Chordata; Aves; Eurypygiformes; Eurypygidae
Source: Rfam
GUUUCCGUAGUGUAGCGGUUAUCACGUUCGCCUCACACGCGAAAGGUCCCCGGUUCGAUCCCGGGCGGAAACA